GUCACUUCAUUUAUUAGUUUAUUUAAGCUUGCUAAGUGAUAGCAAAUAUAAAACAAUUAAGACUAUUUUAUUAUUUUUAUUAAAUUAAACAUGCAAGGCUAGGUGAUAGAAAUAAAUAAACAAUCACGUUUGUUUUUAUUUAUUUAACAUACGAGACUAUGUGUUACACAAAUGGAACAAAGAGCUCGUAUUAUUAUUUUAAUUAAUAUUUAAAUAUGCGAUACUAAGCGAUAAAAUAUCAAACAAUUGAGAAGUAAAUUUAUUAUUUUUAAUUAAUUAUUUAAGCAUGCAAAACUAAAUGAUAACAAUAAAUAAGACAUUUUAAAAAAAUAAAGAUAAGCGAGGGGAUAGAAGAGAGGCAAAUAAAUAAGCAAACAAUUUUCUUAUUUUUAUUUUAACCUUCCCCUUCACCCCCGACCGACCAUGAUCUUCUCAGAAGGGUUAGAGUGUGAGCAUACCUGCUGGGACCCAAAAUAUAGUGAAAUAUGCCUUAGCGGGAAGAAGCUAGAGGACACUCUGGUCGAGGCCCAAAGCGAUACUAACAUGCAAAUCAUUCGUAUAACUUUGGUAUAUGGGAGAAAGACUAAUCAAACCAUCAAGUAGCUGGUUCCCUCCAAAGUUUCCCUCCGGAUAGCUGGAGCUCGCGUGCGAAUUCUAUCGGGUAAAGCGAAUUGUUAGAGGACUGGGGAGAAAAAUGCCGUCGACCCAUUCUCAAACAUUAAAUAGGUAGGACAGCGCGACUGUUUUUUUGAUCCGCGCCAUAUAAUCAAAAGCUACAACUUUGUCAUUUUAUAUAAUUAGAAUUGGCGAUGUGGGAUGAACCUAAAAAAGACGGGAUAUGGUUCCAAACUGCGCUAACCUAGAUUCCACUAAGGGUGUUGGUCGAUUAUGAAAGAAGGACGGUUGUCAUGGAAUUCGAAAUCCGAUAAGGAGUGUGUAACAACUCACUAGCCGAAUCAACUAGCCCUGAAUAUUGAUGGAAAUUAAGCAAGAUGAGUAGGAGGGCGUGGCGGUCGCUUUAAAACCUUGGGCGUGAGAGUAGGCGUAGUGGUCAUCGGUGCAAAUCUUGGUGGUAGUAACCAAUAUUCAAAUGAGAACUUUUAAAUCCGAAGAGAGGAAAGGUUCCAUGUGAAUGGAACUUGCACAUGCUUUAGUCGAUCCUAAAGGUUAGGGGAGCCCCGAGAGAUAGCAUGUUUCGCGCAUACUCCGAAAGGAAAUGAGGUUAAAUUUUCUGAAAGGUGAUGCGGCGGUUGACGCUAAAGUUAAAAAGUGUGGAGACAUCGACGGGAGCCUCGGGAAGAGUUAUAUUUUCUGUUUAAUAUCCUACCCACUCUAGAUUCGACUCAGGCGAAGGUAGGGUCCAGUAGCUGGAAGAGCACGGCACGUUGCGUGGUGUCCGGUGCACUCCUCGAGUCCCUUUAAAAUUAGAAGGAUAAUAUGUCAUCCAUGCCAGGUCGUACUCAUGACAGAAUCAGGUCUCCAAGGUGAACUACUUCUAGUCGAUGAAACAAUGUAGGCAAGGGAAUUCGGCACGGGGGUCCCACUCCCUAACCCGUCGGCUGUCGAUGGACUGCUCGAGCUGCUUCUACAGCGAGAACGAGUCACCACGUGCUGGCCGGGGGACGAACUGGGAAUGGUUCCUUCUGGCGCCUUCCCAGGGCAUCGAAAAGCCAACUCAAUACUAGUAAGUACAAGGGGAAUUCUACUGUUUAAUUAAAACAAAGCAUUGGGAAUGUCCCAACGGAUGUUUACUCAAUGUGAUUUCUGCCCAGUCUUUGAAUGUUUAAGUAAUGAAAUUCAACCAAGCACAGGUAAAUGGCGAGAGUAACUAUGACUGUCUUAAGGUAUCCAAAUGCCUCGUUAUCUAAUUAGUGACGCACAUGAAUGGAAUAACGAGAUUCCCAUUGUUCCUGUCUACUAUGCAGCAAAACCAUAUCCAAGGGAACGAUCUUGGCAGAAUCAGCGGAUAAAGAAGACGAGUUGAGCUUAAUUCUACUCCGACUUUGUGAAAUGACAUGAGAGGUGUAGUAUAAGUGGGAGAUGAAAGGCAAAAGUGAAAUACCGCUACUUUUAACAGUAUUUUACUUAUUCCGUGAAUCAGAAGUGGGGCACUUUCCCUCUUUUUCGACCCAAGGCUUGCUUUGCGGGCCAAUCUGGGCGGAAGACAUUGUCAGGUGAGGAGUUUGGCUAUUACGGCAUAUCUUGUUUAAGAUAACGCAAGUUUUCUAAGAUGACAUCAACGAGAACAAAGAUCUCGUGUGGGACAGGAGGUUAAAAUCUCAUUUGAUUUGGAUUUCCAUUACGAAUAAGAACCGUGAAAGCAAGGCCUAACGAUCUUUUAGACCGUUGGA
This 2351-nucleotide ribosomal RNA is filed under the name Solanum lycopersicum (tomato). RNAcentral describes it as "eukaryotic LSU rRNA". It matches the Rfam family "Eukaryotic large subunit ribosomal RNA", at positions 386 to 2788 of the family's 3401-position model. The record is from RNAcentral. Lineage: Eukaryota; Viridiplantae; Streptophyta; Magnoliopsida; Solanales; Solanaceae.